GAUGAACGCUGGCGGCGUGCCUAAUACAUGCAAGUCGAGCGAACAGACGAGGAGCUUGCUCCUCUGACGUUAGCGGCGGACGGGUGAGUAACACGUGGAUACCCUACCUAUAAGACUGGGAUAACUUCGGGACACCGGCGCUAAUACCGGAUAAUAUAUUGAACCGCAUGGUGCAAUAGUGAAAGACGGUUUUGCUGUCACUUAUAGAUGGAUCCGCGCCGCAUUAGCUAGUUGGUAAGGUAACGGCUUACCAAGGCAACGAUGCGUAGCCGACCUGAGAGGGUGAUCAGCCACACUGGGACUGAGACACGGUCCAGACUCCUACGGGAGGCAGCAGUAGGGAAUCUUCCGCAAUGGGCGAAAGCCUGACGGAGCAACGCCGCGUGAGUGAUGAAGGUCUUCGGAUCGUAAAGCUCUGUUAUUAGGGAAGAACAAAUGUGUAAGUAACUAUGCACGUCUGGACGGUACCUAGUCAGAAAGCCACGGCUUACUACGUG
RNAcentral lists this ribosomal RNA (497 nucleotides) under uncultured bacterium. RNAcentral describes it as "partial 16S ribosomal RNA". It matches the Rfam family "Bacterial small subunit ribosomal RNA", at positions 28 to 507 of the family's 1533-position model. The record is from RNAcentral.